AGUUUGAUCCUGGCUCAGGAUGAACGCUGGCGGCGUGCCUAACACAUGCAAGUCGAGCGAUUCUCUUCGGAGAAGAGCGGCGGACGGGUGAGUAACGCGUGGGUAACCUGCCCUGUACACACGGAUAACAUACCGAAAGGUAUGCUAAUACGAGAUAAUAUACUUUUAUCGCAUGGUAGAAGUAUCAAAAGCUCCGGCGGUACAGGAUGGACCCGCGUCUGAUUAGCUAGUUGGUAAGGUAACGGCUUACCAAGGCGACGAUCAGUAGCCGACCUGAGAGGGUGAUCGGCCACAUUGGAACUGAGACACGGUCCAAACUCCCACGGGAGGCAGCAGUGGGGAAUAUUGCACAAUGGGCGAAAGCCUGAUGCAGCAACGCCGCGUGAGCGAUGAAGGCCUUCGGGUCGUAAAGCUCUGUCCUCAAGGAAGAUAAUGACGGUACUUGAGGAGGAAGCCCCGGCUAACUACGUG
This 471-nucleotide ribosomal RNA is filed under the name uncultured bacterium. RNAcentral's name for it is "bacterial SSU rRNA". It matches the Rfam family "Bacterial small subunit ribosomal RNA", at positions 10 to 507 of the family's 1533-position model. The record is from RNAcentral.